AUGAAAUUUGCCUCCUUUAUUUUGCCCUCUUAAUUUACAAAUUACGUAUACCAUCAAUCAUUAUACAGAUUUAAAAAAUGUGUGCAUAGCACAGGCCAUGGGAACAUUGUAACUCUCAUCUAACCGAUAUGUUUAAGCUCUAAAGCUAAGAAGAAUCGGAACUAACCAUCUCAACCUUUUUGGUCUAAUGUCCUUCAUCUCACCAGUUCACAUGAGGAAUGUUUCUUCUGANAAACCCAAUGGUAGCUGUUAUAAAUAACUACAAGUAAGUCGGCAAAGCCCCCCAACAGUCC
RNAcentral lists this unclassified non-coding RNA (293 nucleotides) under Hevea brasiliensis (rubber tree). The record is from RNAcentral. Lineage: Eukaryota; Viridiplantae; Streptophyta; Magnoliopsida; Malpighiales; Euphorbiaceae.